Molecule: ribosomal RNA, 280 nt
Filed under: uncultured bacterium
Lineage: Bacteria
Description: partial 16S ribosomal RNA
Rfam family: Bacterial small subunit ribosomal RNA
Source: RNAcentral
UAUCCGGAAUUAUUGGGCGUAAAGGGCUCGUAGGCGGUUCGUCGCGUCCGGUGUGAAAGUCCAUCGCUUAACGGUGGAUCCGCGCCGGGUACGGGCGGGCUUGAGUGCGGUAGGGGAGACUGGAAUUCCCGGUGUAACGGUGGAAUGUGUAGAUAUCGGGAAGAACACCAAUGGCGAAGGCAGGUCUCUGGGCCGUUACUGACGCUGAGGAGCGAAAGCCGUGGGGAGCGAACAGGAUUAGAUACCCUGGUAGUCCACGCCGUAAACGGUGGAUGCUGGA